This 506-nucleotide ribosomal RNA is filed under the name uncultured bacterium. Its description in RNAcentral is "partial 16S ribosomal RNA". It matches the Rfam family "Bacterial small subunit ribosomal RNA", at positions 30 to 523 of the family's 1533-position model. The record is from RNAcentral.
AUUGAACGCUGGCGGCAGGCUUAACACAUGCAAGUCGAGCGGUAACAGAGAGAAGCUUGCUUCUCUGCUGACGAGCGGCGGACGGGUGAGUAAUGCCUAGGAAUCUGCCUAGUAGUGGGGGAUAACUUGCCGAAAGGUAAGCUAAUACCGCAUACGUCCUACGGGAGAAAGGAGGGGACCUUCGGGCCUUUCGCUAUUAGAUGAGCCUAGGUCGGAUUAGUUAGUUGGUGAGGUAAUGGCUCACCAAGACCGCGAUCCGUAACUGGUCUGAGAUGAUGGUCAAUCAAACUGGGACUGAGAGACGGUCCAGACGCCUACGGGAGGCAGCAGUGGGGAAUAUUGGACAAUGGGGGGAACCCUGAUCCAGCCAUGCCGCGUGUGUGAAGAAGGUCUUAGGAUUGUAAAGCACUUUAAGUUGGGAGGAAGAGCAGUUAACUAAUAUUUGACUGUUUUGACGUUACCGACAGAAUAAGCACCGGCUAACUUCGUGCCAGCAGCCGCCGCCG